CCUACGGGUGGCAGCAGUGAGGAAUAUUGGUCAAUGGCCGCAGGGCUGAACCAGCCAAGUCGCGUGAGGGAUGACGGUCCUCUGGAUUGUAAACCUCUUUUGUCAGGGAGCAAAGGGCGCCACGUGUGGCGUUUUGCGAGUACCUGAAGAAAAAGCAUCGGCUAACUCCGUGCCAGCAGCCGCGGUAAUACGGAGGAGGCGAGCGUUAUCCGGAUUUAUUGGGUUAAAAGGGUGCGAAGGGGGAAGGUCAAGUCAGCGGGAAAAUUUCGGGGCUAAACCCCGUCGUGCCGUUGAAACUGGGGGUCUUGAGUGAGCGAGAAGUAUGCGGAAUGCGUGGUGUAGCGGUGAAAUGCAUAGAUAUCACGCAGAACUCCGAUUGCGAAGGCAGCAUACCGGCGCUCAACUGACGCUCAUGCACGAAAGCGUGGGUAUCGAACAGGAUUAGAUACCCCAGUAGUC
This 459-nucleotide ribosomal RNA is filed under the name uncultured bacterium. Its description in RNAcentral is "partial 16S ribosomal RNA". It matches the Rfam family "Bacterial small subunit ribosomal RNA", at positions 338 to 795 of the family's 1533-position model. The record is from RNAcentral.